UGAUUCCUACCUUUAGAAAUUGAGAUAUUUUGUGAGGACAGUACAUAGUUCAGUUUUAAAAAAUAUUCUUUAGGCACUUGAAUAAUUAUUUUUUAAGUAGUAAAAGUGCUAUUUUAAAAUAGAACAAAAUUGAAAUGUAAUAGAUAAUUCUGCACAUUAUGUGACUUUUUGUGGUACUUCUACUGGACAAUUCAUGGAAAAGGCCAAUAAAUGUACAACUCAGAAUAUUAUUGACUCUCCUUACUAAACAUAAAGAUGUUCAGAUAUUUGGUCUAAACUGUUUUCUCAGCCAAAUCUCUGCUUUGACAGCAGUAAGUAACUUCAUGGCACUGUUUUGUCUUCUCCUUCUUUCAAAUCAGUAUUGGUACACUGAAUCAACUUAAAGCCCAGUUGCUUUAUCUCAGACAUUUGAAUGCUAGACUUGGCCCUACUUAUUCAUAUUGAUGUGGUAACUUUUCCUGAAUAUGUUUGAAAAUUUUUAGUGAGGUAAAAAUUUAGUCAGUUAUAAAAUUGGAGUAAUUAAGGGGAAAAAAAAGCAGAAUCAACUAAAGUCCACAACCAGGAUUUCAAUAGCAAAUAAGCUGCAGUCUGUAUAGUUGUAGGUAAUUAGUUCCACAUUCAUUGACUGUUAGAAAAUGCUCUGGCACUGACUCACAGAAAAACAAGGACACAUGAAAUACCUUGUCAAUUUUUGUCUUAGUAAACAUUUAGAAUUAGAAGCUAAAAGAGGCAUCAAAGAGGACGAUAAAUUAGCAUUUAAAAUGAUAAUGCAUUAGUAAAAUGACCUACAAAUUUAUGAGAUUAUGAGCAAGAAAGAGCUAAAUACGCAAUGUGUCUCAUAUAGGAGAGAAGUUCCUGCUAAUUCUGCAUCCCACCGUAAUUUGUUAUUGUCUAAUGUCUUUCAAUUGUGGUUGCCUAUAGACAAGAUCCCCAGCUACAGAAGACUCUUAUAAGCAUCAAACACACCAUAAUUUGUGAAUAUUUAUGCAGAUAUAUGAGUGAGCCUGAAAGAACACUAACUCUCUGAAAUGAAUGAUUAAACAAAAAUAUUUCAGUGACUAGUGUUCUAAGAUAAUUCACACCAAAUUUUUAUUUAUUACUUUUAAAUUUUACAUAUUAAAUGACAGUGAUUUAACUCCAUUGGAUGGAGUGUUUUUGAACAAUUUUACUGACCUCUCUAAGGUGUGUUUCUUUACCUAUGAAAUGAGAACACUGAAUUGGAAACUAGAUUAUCUAGAAGUUCCUUUCAGUUAGAGAAUCUUGAGUGCCAUUGAUACUGAUGUCUAUUGAAGGAAAGAACUGUGAAGAGUCUAAGAUUUUAUCCAACUUGCAAACUAAUAAGUUACUCUGCCACACCUUCAUGGAUGCUAGCUUAAGACAGAAAGACUCCUAAGUCAGAGACAAAGGACUUUAAUUAUUACUUACUGCACUUCAAUAAGCACCAUUAGUGCCAGUUCCCAUUGCACCCCAAGUCGUAUAGGAACAAUGCACAGCCCCAGGGAGCUACUCUGCAGGAAGGGAGUUUGUGUCACAACUGAGAAACUCCAUGCUUAGGGAACCCUAGUGAUUUAUAUAAAAUGGACUGCAACCAACCUGCCCAAUCUUUGCCCCAAAAGAAGAGAUCUUUAGUACACUGGAAAGUAAACAAACCUGGUUUGUUGUCUUCUGCUCUAGGGGGGUCACUGUUUUUAUUUCCUAAGGCUUUAAGUAUCUAAACAUUAAAGUUAGUCUGGAACAAUGUCUGUGAGCACCACUGUUCACAAGAUGUGCAGAAAUUCAAGAGGCUUGUGGAAUAUUGUCUCAGUAUCACCUCACCCAAAGGAGAAAGUCAGUUAACAUCCUCUAAAUAAUUCAUAUGUGUACUAAAUAUCACUACAGAUUGUUACAAUUUAUGCACAUGUACAUAAUGAUAUGUUCAUGCAUAAUUAGGCAGUCCAUUAUUUCAACUUUAAUAUCAAACUGUUAAUGCUUUUUUCAUUUAUAAGUUUCUUAUUAGAAAACUAUCUUCAAGUUACUUAUUGUUGAUGUAUUUUUUCUUUUUUUAAGCUAAUAUAUUCUCAUUGUAAAAUACACUAUUAACAUAUUGUUAGACUACACAGACACACACACACACAUAUAUGUAUAAUUUAUAUGUGUAUACACUCACACAUACUAGUGGAUAUCUGCUAAUUUUUUGUCUAAAAAAAAUUGGUAUGAAUGUCUUAGAAUGCUAGGCACUGAAAGAUUUUUGUUUAAUCAUCUAUUUCAGAGAGCUAGUAUUCUUUCAGGCUCCCUGGCACAUAUGCAUAAAUUCACACAAAAUAUGGUGUAUUUGAUGCCUAUAAGAUCUCUUAGAAUCACCUCUUUUCUGUUACAUGGAUUCACAUGGCAAAGUACAAUUAUGGGAUCCAGUCUUGGGUCCUUUUGUGACGUCAACUCAUGAAUUAUGUGUCCUACAAUAACCAAGUGAUUAAACAAAUGUCAGGGAGAGUGUUCAGAAUAGUUUUGAUCCUGUAGAAGAGAAAGUUUUAUUCUUUUCUGUUGGACCAUGUGACAGCCAUGAGAAUGCACCUCAGAGACCUUCAAACCAGGGCGCUUGCUUGGCUAUGAUCUCUAGUUGUUGUGCUCUGAAAUCCAUCACCACAUCUGCAUCAAAGCCAUGCUUGCUACGCUGCUCCCAGCCAAUGCUGGCAUGCAGCACAGAUAUGAAGGCAGACUCAUUCCUGGGAGAUACAGGACUCUUACAGUAACCAACUUUGACUUCACUCCCUGUUGGUCCUGCCUGGAAUUUUCUGUAGAUUACAUAAGAGCCUAUAAUGCUUCCACCUUUCUUUUCCUAUUUCCCUCUGGGUCAGACUUAUACUGUGGUCCGACAGCUUACCUGUCUAUCCCAGUUCCUUUCCCAUUUUCUCCCACAAGUAUUUUCACUGAUAAAAUCUUUGCAUGUUUAAUCAUGUUUACAUGUCUGCUUUUCAGAGGACCUGACCAACAUAGGUCACUGGCUCUUAAUAGGAUCUAGAAGUUCUGGUGAGAUUAUUUUGACUGUCAUGUUUCCCCAACAUGGAAACACAGAGGACAAUGCAGGCAGAGAGGUGAAGUCAAUGGAUAAUAUUUGUUGAAUCCCUAUAGUCAGUGAACUUGAAGCCAGAACCAUCUUGGGAUUCUAUAGUCCAAAAACCAUGAAAUCCCCUUCUUUUUUUACCACUCUCUUCUCCUCCAUAAGAACAAGAACUACUGUCCAUCUUCCUUCAUGAGAGUAGAAUCAGAAUUGAUCCAGAUUGCCUCUGAAUAAUACCCAGUGCUGGUACAGAGCUGGUAACAUAGUAGAUACGCCAUACACAUUUGUUGAAUAAAUAAAAUUUAAAAACGUUUUAAUUCUCCCUUGUAACUUCUAACCACUUUAAGGCUGAAUUAUCACAGAAGUACAAAGGAUGUCCAUGGAACCACGUAUGCUUCCUCAGUCCAGGGGAUCCAGUGGAUAGAACCUUUGUUGUGUUCCCUUUCUAAUGCAGGCAAAGGGUCUGUACAAUCCACCCUUGGAAGAGAAGAAAAGCUCUAAUUUUGCUCUCUCUCAAGCUACAUGUCAACAACUCUUUUUUUUUUUUUUUUUUUUUUUAAGAGCCACAUUCUCUUGUUCCAUCCAAUUAACAUUUCCACCUGGAUGGGCCCUGUUGGAGCAAACAAGAAUUUCCCACAAAAAAAUUAACUGUUUUUCCAUAAUACAACAUUUUAAUUUAGACUUAUUUGUUCCCAAACAAAUAAAACCUACCAAAAUUUACUAAAGCUAAAAACCAAACAAACGGACUAACAAAAACAGCAUAAGAGUUACUAUGAAAAUUCAAGGUGCCGUAGGAAUUCUGGGACCAGCAUGCAGUUAGACUUCAAGAAUAAAAGUUACUAGAAAGCAUCAAUAGUUUCUCUCAGUCUUUCAUAUGUAUUCCACACAGUCACUAUGCAAUUCCAAUCACAUGGAGAUUAACUCUUUGGCUCUCAGUACCAAUUGCAAAUACCCAGGAGGGAGAAUACAGCCUGGCUUGGGGAUGGAUUCACUCCUGGUAUUACUAACAUGACUGCCUGGUAUCCAGAUUUUCAUUUAUGAAAGAGGAGUUAAAAGGCGAGAACAAUUCCCUCCAAAAGGAGUAAUUAUUAUUACCUGGAACACAUUCCAAAACAUGACUUCUAUCUCAGGUACCAAAUAAACAUUAUUUUCAUCCUAAUAAGCGUUUUGAAAUGAUGAAAUUUUCUUUUUGCGUUUUUUCUUUCUUCAUAAGAUUGUUGACUGAGUUAUACCUUCUGUUGAGUGAGAAAAGACACAAGACAGUAGUAGGAAUAUUAUAGAGUAAUGGAGAGUCAUCUUACACCAUGUAUAGCACCUGAAUCUACCAGCAAAUUGCAAGCUGAGGCUGUUGUGAAAUGUAUUAGUCAAGUAUGGAUGUAUGUUCUGUUUUUAUAACCUAAAGUUGUAAGAACACCUAUAACAAGAGAAGAGAAGAUUGGAGUGGUAAGUAAAAUAUCUUCACCUGCAUUCCAAAGUUAGCUUUGGAAUGUUCCCAAAUACUUUAUAGACAAAAACAACUAAAGUCAUAAAACUGACUGCUCUAAAUAAAGAGGUUAUGGUUCAGACAUUAUGGUUCUACAAAUCAUAACUGAAGAGUUUCUGUCAAUUUUUCUUUAAGACAUCUUUAUAAUGCUGAUAAAAUCAAAGAGCCUUGCUUGUAAUUUAUCAUGUUCAUAUGUAUAGCUUUUAAAACUUAAAAAUUUAUUUUCUGUUAAUUUUGGUUUCAGGCUACAUAGCCUAUUUGAUGUUACAUGAUAAUGUACAUUAAAGCCUAGACUUAGAGGAGUCUCUGAUAGCCCCAAGUUAUUUUGCGAGGUGAAUGUGAAUGUACCCUCACAUUAAAGAGCCAUUUGCUUUGUGAUUAUUAGAGAUUUUUGGUUUUUUGUUUGUCUUUUUCUGUUUCUUCUGAGCCAUUCAGUCAUGCAGUCAAUAUUUGUUGGGUGCCAACUAUGUGAUAAACUCUGAUUUGCGCACUUAUUAAGGAAACAGAACAGAUGAUAUUGCUUGUCAAUGAAGUGCGUAUUUUAGAGGGAGGAGGAGAACAAAAAAGAAGCAAAUACGUAGUAUGCCAGAGGAUGAUAAAUGUUGUGGAGGCAAAAAAAAAAAAAAAAAAAAAAAAAACAAAUGGCAAAAGAUAUGUCAGUAUGUUGAGGGUAACAACUGCAAUUUUGAAAAGGCCUCACUAGAAGUUAAAAUCAGAGCAAAUACUUGAAGGAAAUAGAUUCUAGAGGAAGGGAAUUUCAAAGUGAGGACAUAGUCAAUGAAGAGGCUCGAAGACAUGAGGAGUGGCCUGGGUUUGAUAUUUCUGAAAGAUAACCAGAGAAAAGAUAAUUUUUGUCUAACUAUAGCAGAGAGAGCAAUAGAAAGAAUGAGAUGUGAACAGUUCAGAGCAAGUUGAUUUCAUUUUAUGUCUUUGUAUCUUUGACAUUAUUUGUGUCCAAUAACCUAAAGAAACUACUUUGAAAGAAUUAUUGGUGUUUGCUUAAUAAUUAUUUGAUAGUCACUUAUAUCAAGGAUAACUGUCCUGUUUGACAGAUGAUGUAGUAGUUUCCAGAUGUUAAUUUUUGGUUAUCUUCCAGCAAGUUUAAAUUAUUGAUUCCAGGUGUGCUUUCUUUUUGUUCUUAGACAUAUGUAAUACUAAAAAAAUAUCUAAAAGUAUCUAGCCUGGAAGUCCAGUAUUGUAAUAAAAGCACAUGAGUUAGUAGCAUAAGGUAAGGACGGUAUAGUUUAAAGUUCUCAUUACUGGUAAGCGGCAAGAGAAAUACACAUUAGCUGUAACUAGAAAUGAAAUUACUCUUUUAACAUUUACAUCUUCUUUAACCCAGUUCUGGCCCAUAGUCCUCAUAAGGGCAACCUUUGUAUCUACAACUAUUAUUUUCUAUUUUCUAGUCAUAUUGAUUUAAUCAGGGAUGAACAAUGACCCAAGCUGGAAUAACCAUGUUCUCUUUCCAAAAAUGUUGGGAUAUCAAAACAUAAACUGAAACACCACGUUAUAUUGCUGUUAGAAAUUGGAACUGUAAAUUUAUGGAGAGAAGAGGGAAUGCCAGGGAAAAAAAGCCAACCAGAUUCUUCUGUUGCAAGCUAAAAUUACUAAAAAGUAUAAUCUAGAACUUUGCAAGCAAGCAUCUUCUAUGGGAAAGUGAUAUACUAUACCUUUUCACAAGGCUAGAAUGUGAGGCCAGGCAAACAUAUACUUCAUUGAAGGCCUGGCAAUAUUGCUUGCCGUUGUGUUCCAUGAGCUCGUUUUUCUCUUUAUGAUAAACAUCCUAUUAACUUGGGCCUUUUUGAAGGGGUUCCAUUUCUUUCAACCUAAGAGCUCUACUACUGUUAAAGACUGGAU
Molecule: long non-coding RNA, 6377 nt
Organism: Sapajus apella (tufted capuchin)
Lineage: Eukaryota; Metazoa; Chordata; Mammalia; Primates; Cebidae
Exons: 2
Source: RefSeq, a predicted model, not a curated record